AUGAGUUAUGCUCCUGGAGCACACCUUCUGUCCAGGCUAAACAUGAAAGCUGGGAGUACUGGAGAAGUCAGGCUGAAAAGUGACAUUCCUGGUUCAGAGUUACUGGCCACCCAAACCAUGUCACCAACUUCUCUCAAUUCUGAUGAAAUUGUUCUUAGAGGAGACAGGAAUUUUCUUGGAUACCUCUCCACAAGGCUGGAGACAGAUUCAAAUACUGCAUCAGGACACCAUGUUUUGUGUUUUGACUCUAGACCUGGCAUCUUUGUCUGCCUGAAGCCCAGCUCGUGGCAAUACUCUAGAACUAAACAUUUGUUCUUUUCACGAUCUCCAUGCAAAGGCAGGAUAAAUAUUCCCUAGGGGAUUUUUGAUAGCAGAAGAGAACAAACAAAUCCAACACUUUAUAAAGUACAUACAUUUACCAGCCAGAUAAUUCCACAUGUGUGGGAAUUACUGACUGUUUGCUCAUAGACCUUUCAAAUCUGCAGAACAGGAUCUGAAUAUGCUUCUCCUUAGAACCCAAAUAUUGACUCCUUUUUUACAACCACACAGGCCUCACUUGAGUGCUGGGAUAACUGUUUUUUCUGAUUGGAAAAAUAUUCUUGUGUUCACAUUUGAGACAAGGCAACUUAAUGCCCUUUUUUGUGUUUUGGGGUUGACUGGGCUUUCCUGGAAACUCUUAGGUUUUAUCACCCAGUUCACAUUUGAGCUGCUUUCUAUGCUUUCACACAAAAUAACUGUAUAGCCAUCAUUCCAUUACUCUGCACCCCCUCUCCCAAGGGUUUGGGAUGUACACAGAUACCCUAUCACAGCACAGCACUACUCUUUGAUCUGCCAAGGAUCUGAGUCUGCAACGGCAGAGAAUUACGCUCAGCUCUCUCAAGCCCCAGCACUUCACCUAUUAUUUCAAGAAAGUUGUCCCUGGAGGUAUUAAAUAACCACAAAGUGCUGCUGCAGCAGAGCUAAAUAUUUACUAAUAAUGUUAAACUAACACAUCGGGGGUUUUUUUUGCGAGGCAGCAUUGGCACAGAGCUCUGCUGUGUGCCAUAAGUACAUCUCAAGAUCUCAUAACUGUAAAGCUGGAGGAUUUCUGGUGCCAGACCUGGCAUCAGCUGCUGUGAAUGGCCAGAGCCUGUUGAUGCCAAUGGGGACAUAAUGCUUAACAGACUGAGAAUUUGCCUCC
This 1180-nucleotide long non-coding RNA is filed under the name Cyanistes caeruleus (blue tit). RNAcentral's name for it is "lncRNA (ENSCCEG00000000094.1)". The record is from RNAcentral. Lineage: Eukaryota; Metazoa; Chordata; Aves; Passeriformes; Paridae.